ACCUUUCCCUAAUUCACACAUCCAUCCUCCCUCCUUCUCCCCCAACCCUGCCUCCUCCUCAAGCCCAUGCAUUAUUACAUAGAACACAAUUAGGCAGGGCUAUCAGAUUAAAGCAUUGUCAAUGAUGCUCUCAUUAAAAACAACAGCACAGUCAAACAGAGAGCAUGCUUGCAUAUGAAAUGUGAUUAAUUCUUUCAGACAUGACUCGUGAUGACUGGGGCCACACCACCAGGGCAGCAACUCUGCUCUGCACUGAGCCUAGCUGUGUGCCUGACCACCUCCCAAAGUGCUUCACGCUCUCAUUUCACCCCCAGAGGCAGACAAGAGGACUGCAAAGGACUCAUGUGGCUGGAAAUCAAAUCCAAAUCUCCUGACCUCUAAUUUCAGAGGGUGCCCUGCCUUCCCAAGGCCCAAUUUUACAGUUAAAUGGCUUAACAAGGGCUUUACUGGAUUGAAAGAAACAUUAAAAGACAUUAGAUUCCAUUGGCACAGUCUUUGGCCCCUUGUCUCUAAUGAGAAUUUGCCCAGUUAAAAUUUUAACAUUGGGUCUAACCUGAGAGAACUUGACUUUCAGCCUGAAACUUUGAAAAGGCUUGAUUAACUUAGGAGUUCCUGCUACAAAGUAAGAGUCAAGAACCCUCUUCAGCAAAG
Sapajus apella (tufted capuchin) is the source of this 651-nucleotide long non-coding RNA. RefSeq lists it as uncharacterized. The record is from RefSeq and is a predicted model, not a curated record. Lineage: Eukaryota; Metazoa; Chordata; Mammalia; Primates; Cebidae. The transcript is spliced from 2 exons.